This is a long non-coding RNA of Manduca sexta (tobacco hornworm), 319 nucleotides long. RefSeq lists it as uncharacterized. The transcript is spliced from 3 exons. NCBI's taxonomy places the organism in Eukaryota, Metazoa, Arthropoda, Insecta, Lepidoptera, Sphingidae. The record is from RefSeq and is a predicted model, not a curated record.
GGUAUUAUCCACACGUUUGCGCAAGAACCACUUAACCCUAACGUUCAACAAUGGAGAUCAAUAGACCGUGUGUACUCGCAAAAGUUCUACAGGUUUCCCGCUUUCGAUUUGGCCAUUUUGCAAACAAAUCGACCAUUUAUAUUCACCCAAUUUGUGAAUAAAAUUAAAUACGCUUCAUUGAAUCAAGAUUUUGAUGGGACGUGUUUAUCUACCGCAGUCAGACCAAUUAGGAGUUGGGCCAUCAACAAAUAUGUAUUUGUCGAAGAGGUGAAGUUGAUAAGUCGUCGUCCGUGCGAGCUACGAUUGCUAAGAAGCUGUC